Molecule: ribosomal RNA, 440 nt
Filed under: uncultured bacterium
Lineage: Bacteria
Description: partial 16S ribosomal RNA
Rfam family: Bacterial small subunit ribosomal RNA
Source: RNAcentral
CCUACGGGGCGCAGCAGUAGGGAAUAUUGCUCAAUGGGGGAAACCCUGAAGCAGCAACGCCGCGUGGAGGAUGAAGGUUUUCGGAUUGUAAACUCCUUUUGUUAGAGAAGAUAAUGACGGUAUCUAACGAAUAAGCACCGGCUAACUCCGUGCCAGCAGCCGCGGUAAUACGGAGGGUGCAAGCGUUACCCGGAAUCACUGGGCGUAAAGAGCGCGUAGGCGGGAUAGCAAGUCAGAUGUGAAAUCCUAGGGCUUAACCAUAGAACUGCAUUUGAAACUGUUAUUCUAGAGUAUGGGAGAGGUAGGUGGAAUUCUUGGUGUAGGGGUAAAAUCCGUAGAGAUCAAGAGGAAUACUCAUUGCGAAGGCGACCUGCUAGAACAUAACUGACGCUGAUGCGCGAAGGCGUGGGGAGCAAACAGGAUUAGAUACCCUAGUAGUC